Molecule: ribosomal RNA, 775 nt
Filed under: uncultured bacterium
Lineage: Bacteria
Description: bacterial SSU rRNA
Rfam family: Bacterial small subunit ribosomal RNA
Source: RNAcentral
GACGAACGCUGGCGGCGUGCCUAAUACAUGCAAGUCGAACGCUUUGAUUUUCACCGGAGCUUGCUCCACCGAAAAUCAAAGAGUGGCGGACGGGUGGGUAACACGUAGGCAACCUGCCCAACAGAGGGGGAUAACACUUGGAAACAGGUGCUAAUACCGCAUAAUUUGUUUUUCCGCAUGGAAGAAUAAUAAAAGACGCUUCGGUGUCACUGUUGGAUGGGCCCGCGCUGCAUUAGUUAGUUGGUGGGGUAACGGCCUACCAAGACCAUGAUGCAUAGCCGACCUGAGAGGGUGAUCGGCCACACUGGGACUGAGACACGGCCCAGACUCCUACGGGAGGCAGCAGUAGGGAAUCUUCGGCAAUGGACGAAAGUCUGACCGAGCAACGCCGCGUGAGUGAAGAAGGUUUUCGGAUCGUAAAACUCUGUUGUUAGAGGAGAACAAGUGAGAGAGUUACUGUUCUCACCUUGACGGUAUCUAACCAGAAAGCCACGGCUAACUACGUGCCAGCAGCCGCGGUAAUACGUAGGUGGCAAGCGUUGUCCGGAUUUAUUGGGCGUAAAGCGAGCGCAGGCGGUUUCUUAAGUCUGAUGUGAAAGCCCUCGGCUCAACCGAGGAAGGUCAUUGGAAACUGGGGAACUUGAGUGCAGAAGAGGAGAGUGGAAUUCCAUGUGUAGCGGUGAAAUGCGUAGAUAUAUGGAGGAACACCAGUGGCGAAGGCGACUCUCUGGUCUGUAACUGACGCUGAGGCUCGAAAGCGUGGGGAGCAAACAGG